UACGUAGGUCCCGAGCGUUAUCCGGAUUUAUUGGGCGUAAAGCGAGCGCAGGCGGUUGGAUAAGUCUGAAGUUAAAGGCUGUGGCUCAACCAUAGUAUGCUUUGGAAACUGUUCAACUUGAGUGCAGAAGGGGAGAGUGGAAUUCCAUGUGUAGCGGUGGGAUGCGUAGAUAUAUGGAGGAACACCGGUGGCGAAAGCGGCUCUCUGGUCUGUAACUGACGCUGAGGCUCGAAAGCGUGGGUAGCGAACAGG
This 252-nucleotide ribosomal RNA is filed under the name uncultured bacterium. RNAcentral describes it as "partial 16S ribosomal RNA". It matches the Rfam family "Bacterial small subunit ribosomal RNA", at positions 524 to 776 of the family's 1533-position model. The record is from RNAcentral.